This 253-nucleotide ribosomal RNA is filed under the name uncultured bacterium. RNAcentral describes it as "partial 16S ribosomal RNA". It matches the Rfam family "Bacterial small subunit ribosomal RNA", at positions 524 to 776 of the family's 1533-position model. The record is from RNAcentral.
UACGUAGGGUGCAAGCGUUGUCCGGAAUUAUUGGGCGUAAAGAGCUCGUAGGCGGUUUGUCGCGUCGAAUGUGAAAACCCGGGGCUCAACCCCGGGCCUGCAUUCGAUACGGGCAGACUAGAGUUCGGUAGGGGAGUCUGGAAUUCCUGGUGUAGCGGUGAAAUGCGCAGAUAUCAGGAGGAACACCGGUGGCGAAGGCGGGACUCUGGGCCGAUACUGACGCUGAUGCGCGAAAGCGUGGGGAGCAAACGGG